GACGAACGCUGGCGGCGUGCCUAACACAUGCAAGUCGAGCGAAUGAAGUUCCUUCGGGAAUGGAUUUAGCGGCGGACGGGUGAGUAACACGUGGGCAACCUGCCUCAUAGAGGGGAAUAGCCUUCCGAAAGGGAGAUUAAUACCGCAUAAGAUUGUAGUACCGCAUGAUACAGCAAUUAAAGGAGCAAUCCGCUAUGAGAUGGGCCCGCGGCGCAUUAGCUAGUUGGUGAGGUAACGGCUCAACAAGGCGACGAUGCGUAGCCGACCUGAGGGGGUGAUCGGCCACAUUGGGCAUGAGACACGGCCCAGAAUCCUACGGGAGGCAGCAGUGGGGAAUAUUGCACAAUGGGGGAAACCCUGAUGCAGCAACGCCGCGUGAGUGAUGACGGCCUUCGGGUUGUAAAGCUCUGUCUUCAGGGACGAUAAUGACGGUACCUGAGGAGGAAGCCACGGCUAACUACGUGCCAGCCGCCGCCGUAA
RNAcentral lists this ribosomal RNA (480 nucleotides) under uncultured bacterium. RNAcentral's name for it is "partial 16S ribosomal RNA". It matches the Rfam family "Bacterial small subunit ribosomal RNA", at positions 28 to 523 of the family's 1533-position model. The record is from RNAcentral.